Long non-coding RNA from Ctenopharyngodon idella (grass carp), 4017 nucleotides. RefSeq lists it as uncharacterized. The record is from RefSeq and is a predicted model, not a curated record. Lineage: Eukaryota; Metazoa; Chordata; Actinopteri; Cypriniformes; Xenocyprididae. The transcript is spliced from 14 exons.
AACGACAUGAGGUAAUUAAUGACAGAAUUUUCAUUUUUGGGUGAACUAACCCUUUAAGGUUAAUAUUUGUCUUAACAAGCACGCACUGCUAGAUUAUUACCCUUUUUACUAACCAUUUUUUAAGCUGUUAACCUUUGUAUCAUCAGUGAUUACCUGAAUAUCUUUUUAAGUGUGUAGACAUUCACCUGGCAAACCCCAAACACACGUGCAUACACACUUCAGUUGAGGAAUGGACUUUCGAGGUGAAAUAUUGCACAAGGGAAUGGUACAGAAUGAGCCGGACGUCUGGAGGCAGAUAAAUAGUGUCGGCUGGCGGUUAGGACACAUCAGCCGUAAACAGUACCGGCAGCCAUAAAAAGACGAACAGCUUUAUUUCCCCAGUCCUUGCAGACACAUCAGUGAGACGGACACAGCGCUCGGAGUAAAUAAAACAAGCUGACUGGUGGGGCGCUUAGACUGGGAGCUGAAGGAUCGCUCCGGGUCCCAUAAUAAUGCCCCGUAGGGCUCACGUCAAGACACUCCAGUGGGACUGAGCAAGUGCUUUUACCUCCCUGUUUGGCGCUCGCCAACUAAACCGAUGUUCAUACACCAAUCAAAUUGCAUUUACUUUAAUAGUACUGCAGUGCUUCAGCACACCAAUAGUACUGCAUACUUGGAUGAUAAAAUUACAAAUUUAUAUUUCUGGAUUUUUUUUAUUGGAUGAGCCAUUUUUGAAAUCAGUUGUCAAAAAAUAUAACCGCACUAUUAUUGACUGCCUAUUAGUUCUAUUAAUUAAAUUCAGUGCAAUUAUCUAUGAACCAGUAAAUCACAGUAAAUGAAGUGCAUUUAUGCUAAUUCACAAUUUUUUUGGAUGGAAGUAUUAUUAUUAUUGUUAUUUUUAUACAACAAUAAAAGACUCCAAAAGAUCCCAUAUUUAAUAAUUACAUUUUAUAAGUAUAAUUAGAUUGUAUAAUAAUAACAAUAUGAAUAAUAUUGUAAUUAUUUAUUAAACAUGGGGUCUUUUGUCAUUGUCACUUAUUGCAGUGAUUUUACCAGGUUAAGAGGGUUUUUGGCUCUCUGUGUCACAGUGUGUAUAACUACACCCGUUAACUGUGGUAAAAUCACUGCAAUACACUGCCUGUCUUUGUAUAUUAUCUUAGUAGAGGAUAGUUGGUGAGCAUGGUCAUUAUUAUUGUAUUUAAAAUAUAUUUUUUUUUAUUGAAAGAACAAGCUCUUGAGCUAUUCCUGAUACAGUCAGAUGUAGAGUAAAAUUAAUAAGCGUAAAAUAAUAUUCCUGUACAUUUUAUGGUAAACCCAUUUAGCACUGAGACCUAUGAUUGAGUGAACAGAUGAGUGUUGAUUUAAUAUUUUUUGAUGUUUAUAUUAAUUAGGAUUUAAUUGUCAAAAAUAUUUAGCUCAGACAUGCAAGUUGGACACAAACGGGAAAAUAUUAGCAGCCCUUGCAUUAUUCCAGUUUCAUCAGCCUCGUUUUAAUUAACCUCUUUGAAUAAUUAACCACACGUUAUUAUCAAAUGAAGCAAAUAAUUGAGGUGCUGGCUCAAUUUGUAAUUUGACGAUUUUCUACCAUUUUAAUUCAUGUGUUUCCCACUUUGAAACGAAGGAAAAACAUUUUACAGUAAUGACCUUAAUGAACACGGAUUGCUGAGACGAGAGGGAGCCGGAAUAACACCGUCUGUAGUCAGUGAGCACAGACAAGACUGGUCAAUCCCUUGAGGAGUUCUCCGUCUCAUUGUGUGUGUGUGUGUAUGUGUGUGUGUGUGUGUGUUUCUCUCUCUCUCUCAGGAGGAGCUGAUAGGGCUCAGGGGAACUCUGGAGAAUCUCUACAUGGCCCAGUAUUGGGAAAAGACAGGAAACAGCCUUUCAUUACAGUAUAGAGGCUCAGACAUGGGGGAACGAUGCCAGAGCGACUCUUUCCUCGAGUUUGCAGGCAGUGCACCCGUCCACUGCUCUGCUAGGCAAAUCCUCUCCCUUCAAACCAUCUUGGGACUAGGAUUACUGAAAUUUUAUGAAGCAGAAUCAAUUAAGCAGGUAAGGGAAUUGGGAUCUCUGGGAAGACUGCGGGUUUGGAGAGGCCUUGAGCCCGAGCUUUGGACGCCGUGGAGGUGGGAUAUCCAGUGGAUAUGCAUAAACGGGCUGGGGAGGAUGAAAGCUGUUCAGCAGAUAAAGCCAUAGCAGUCUGUCGGAAUCCUGCCAUGCCGGCCCUGAUUUAUGACCGUCUCAGUCAGACUCCCUACCAAAUCCACCUGCUACCUUUUUGUUGAGUGGAGAUGCCUAACUUUGAGCCGAUAGUACGACCACACAUACACGCAAGGGACGUGGUCUGGUUCGUCACACUGAACCUGAGGACACAGCCGAUGCCUCUGAGUAGCACUCUGAUGUUCCCAGCUCUUCUUCUCUCGCGCAACAUUAAAAAGUCUGGAUAAAAGAGAAGGGAAGGAAAGGGGGAAGAAGACACCAAGAUUCUGACACACUCUGCAUAAACAUCUCCUUAUUAGUGACCGUAGAUGCCCAGGGAGAUUCUGCCGCCACACACACUCAGUCACAGCGGCUCUCGCCAGCCUCGCUGUGGCUCAUCCAGUGUGACUGAAGCACCCUGCUGAGAGCCCAGAUGUCAGAGGUCGAUCUUCACCAGCGUAACCUCUACAAACACGUCUUCCGGUCUUUCACAGAUGCCAUGUUCAUGCUGAUGUUGUGAUUUAUCAAGAGUGGGAUCUGACCUCAGCUCGCCUGACCCCACAGCCACGGACGCACGUUACCUUCAGAUGAAGUGCAUUUGCCACCUGAGGAGAAGUCACACCGUGCGGCCGCCAGUUCGGUUCUUGGAAAUCGCACCUCAAUGACGCACAUCAAAAUUCAAUCACACACAAGCACCAUCCAGGCACCCACCUCCACCCCCUUGUUGACUUGAUUAAGGUGUGAUGUGAAGUCGGUGCAGUGGGCUCCUGUUGUGUGUGAGGUGUGAAAGGCAGUGCACACUUCUUGAGGAGUUGAGGACAGAUUGAGUUCUGUACUGCUGAACAGCUGUCAUUCCCUGCUCACUGUCAAACAACAUACAGGGAUGCCUGGGGUUCUGUCAGCUCUACCUCCAUCCAGAACAUUUAUUUAUCUGAGGAGGAGAAAGAAAAGCUGGAAUAACACAAAGAGAGGAUGAUGACAGUGCAGUGCUUCCAGGUUCUACGUCAGAACGCCGACUCAGUAUCGGACAGAAAGCUCUCGGAUUUCAUCAAAAAUGUCUUAAUUUGUGUUCCAAAGAUGAACGAAGGUCUUACGGGUUUAGAACGACAUGAGGAUUCUCACACCUCCAGCUCAGCGUUGAUAUCUGUUCAGAGAGAGACAGAGAGAAUGAAAGAAUGGAAGGAGGAGGUGCAAAGAAGAGGAGGAGCGCCGCACGGAGAAUACCCACAACUCCUUGGGAAGUCGUCUCUAUUGGCAAAUCAUUGGAGAACGCGCACAAAGAGAAGGCUUUCUUCUGUUCCUGUAUACUGGAUUAAGUGAGGAUGUACAGUGCUAUUUUAAACCCCCUUUCCCAGUGGAGCCGUGAAUAACUGGUGUGAUUAAACAAGAAGUCUCAGAUCUUCAUCUGACUCACAAACUGACCCUAAAUAACCAUCCACCCAAGCCACCAUAAGUAACUGGAUGUCCAGCCAACGGCUUCAGCAGGGAACAUCUCGUUUUUGACACUAGAUUCAGCGGUCACAGCAGAAAACUCUUUCGAGUUGCAUGUGAACAGAUGUCUUGUGUUACUUAGAAGGCUAGGCUGAGAAGGAUCCACUCGUUCUAUCCUUCGUGGACUGGGAAAAGAAGGAUGCAUUAGUAGGCCGCAUUUAAAGGAACCUUCGAAUUGGGACAGCCUGUGAUGCAUUCAGCCUUCAAAGGAUGCAGCCGCUGAAUUGGGACGCAGCUUUUAUGAAUAGAAAUGACAAUGGAUGGGAAUUAAAUGGACACUUUUGCUCGAACCUCCUGCUUCUCAGACUCUUUCAGAGUUUCAGAAGAGAUCUCAACAGACUGUGCUCUCAA